This 74-nucleotide transfer RNA is filed under the name Candidatus Amphrikana amoebophyrae. RNAcentral's name for it is "tRNA-Ile". It matches the Rfam family "tRNA". From Rfam's summary of the family: Transfer RNA (tRNA) molecules are approximately 80 nucleotides in length. Their secondary structure includes four short double-helical elements and three loops (D, anti-codon, and T loops). Further hydrogen bonds mediate the characteristic L-shaped molecular structure. tRNAs have two regions of fundamental functional importance: the anti-codon, which is responsible for specific mRNA codon recognition, and the 3' end, to which the tRNAs corresponding amino acid is attached (by aminoacyl-tRNA synthetases). tRNAs cope with the degeneracy of the genetic code in two manners: having more than one tRNA (with a specific anti-codon) for a particular amino acid; and 'wobble' base-pairing, i.e. permitting non-standard base-pairing at the 3rd anti-codon position. Lineage: Bacteria; Pseudomonadati; Chlamydiota; Chlamydiia; Parachlamydiales; Simkaniaceae. The record is from RNAcentral.
GGGGCAAUAGCUCAGUUGGUUAGAGCAACGGACUCAUAAUCCGUAGGUCCACAGUUCAAGUCUGUGUUGCCCCA